Molecule: transfer RNA, 78 nt
Filed under: Podarcis lilfordi (Lilford's wall lizard)
Lineage: Eukaryota; Metazoa; Chordata; Lepidosauria; Squamata; Lacertidae
Description: tRNA.Lys
Rfam family: tRNA (bases 12-69)
About the family: Transfer RNA (tRNA) molecules are approximately 80 nucleotides in length.
Source: RNAcentral
CCCCUGAGAGAUAGCUCAGUUGGUAGAGCAGGAGACUUUUAAUCUCAGGAUUGAGGGUUCGAGCCCCACGCUGGGUGA